CUGGACCAGGUUGCCCAGAGAAGGUGUGGAUGCCCCAUUCCUGGAAGUGUUCAAAGCCAGGUUGGAUGGGGCUUUGAGCAACCUGGUCAAGUGGAAGGUGUCCCUGUCCAUGGCAGGGGCAUUGGAAUUAGAUGAUCUUUAAAGUCCCUUCCAAUCCCAA
Cygnus olor (mute swan) is the source of this 160-nucleotide long non-coding RNA. RefSeq lists it as uncharacterized. Lineage: Eukaryota; Metazoa; Chordata; Aves; Anseriformes; Anatidae. The record is from RefSeq and is a predicted model, not a curated record. The transcript has 3 exons.